RNAcentral lists this ribosomal RNA (433 nucleotides) under uncultured bacterium. RNAcentral's name for it is "partial 16S ribosomal RNA". It matches the Rfam family "Bacterial small subunit ribosomal RNA", at positions 29 to 507 of the family's 1533-position model. The record is from RNAcentral.
AACGAACGCUGGCGGCAUGCCUAACACAUGCAAGUCGAACGAUACCUUCGGGUAUAGUGGCGCACGGGAGCGUCACGCGUGGGAACCUUCCCUUAGGUUCGGAAUAACUCCCCGCAAGGGGUGCUAAUACCGGAUAAUGUCUUCGAACCAAUGAUUUCUCGCCUUUGGAUGGGCCCGCGUGGGAUUUGCUAGUUGGUAAGUUAAAAGCCUACCAAGGCUACGAUCCAUAGCUGGUCUGAGAGGAUGAUCCGCCACACUGGGACUGAGACACGGCCCAGACUCCUACGGGAGGCAGCAGGGGGGAAUAUUGGACAAUGGGCGAAAGCCUGAUCCAGCAAGGCCGCGUGAGUGAUGAAGGAGUUAGGGUUGUAAAGCAGUUUUACCCGGGAUGAUAGUGACAGUACCGGGAGAAUAAGCGCCGGCUAACUCCGUG